Molecule: ribosomal RNA, 441 nt
Filed under: uncultured bacterium
Lineage: Bacteria
Description: partial 16S ribosomal RNA
Rfam family: Bacterial small subunit ribosomal RNA
Source: RNAcentral
CCUACGGGCGGCAGCAGUGGGGGAUAUUGCACAAUGGGGGAAACCCUGAUGCAGCGACGCCGCGUGGGUGAAGAAGUAUUUCGGUAUGUAAAGCCCUAUCAGCAGGGAAGAAAGAAGACGGUACCUGACUAAGAAGCCCCGGCUAACUACGUGCCAGCAGCCGCGGUAAUACGGAGGGGGCGAGCGUUAUCCGGAUUCACUGGGUGUAAAGGGAGCGUAGACGGCCGUGCAAGCCAGGAGUGAAAGCCCGGGGCCCAACCCCGGGACUGCUCUUGGAACUGUGCGGCUGGAGUGCGGGAGGGGCAGGCGGAAUUCCUGGUGUAGCGGUGAAAUGCGUAGAUAUCAGGAGGAACACCGGCGGCGAAGGCGGCCUGCUGGACCGCGACUGACGUUGAGGCUCGAAAGCGUGGGGAGCGAACAGGAUUAGAUACCCUUGUAGUC